ACUUGGUGGGGUCUAGGUGGGAUCUGGGGGAAUCUAGGUGGAAUCUGGGGGGAUCCGGGGGAUCUAGGUGGGAUGCAGGGAGGUCUGGGGGAUCUUGGGGGGGUCUAGGUGGGAUCUGGGGGGUCUAGGUGGGAUCUGGGGGGUCUAGGUGGGAUUUUAGGGUAACUUGGGGGGGUCUUGGGGAUCUAGGAGGGAUCUGGUUGGGAUCUGGGGUAACUCAGUGGGAUCUGGAGGGUCCAGGUGGGAUCUGGGUGGGAUCUGGGGGUAACUCGAUGGGAUCUGGGGGGAUCUAGGUGGGAUCUGGGGUAACCAGGAGGGAUCUGGGGGGAUCUGGGUGGGAUCUGGGGUAACCAGGAGGGAUCUGGAGGGAUCUAGGAGGGAUCUGGGGGUAACUAGGAGGGAUCUGAGGGGUCUAGGUGGGAUUUGGGGGUAACUAGGAGGAGUCUUGGGGNCACCCCAAAAUCCCCCUCCAAAAUGGGGCGAAAUCCCACGAUUUUGGGGUCCCCAUCCUCCUCCUUCAGACACCUCAGAAUGGGGCAAAACCCCUCAAUUUUGGGGUUUCUCGAACCACCUCAGAAUGGGGCAAAACUUCACAAUUUUGGGGCUCCUCCAACCACCUCAGAAUGGGGCAAAACUUCACAAUUUUGGGGCUCCUCCAGGCACCUCAAAAUGGGGCAAAACCUCACGAUUUUGGGGUCCCCAUCCUCCUCCUUUAGCUCAAAAUGGGGCGAAAUCCCACGAUUUUGGAGUCCCCAUCCUCCUCCUUCAGACACCUCAGAAUGGGGCAAAACCCCUCAAUUUUGGGGUUUCUUGAACCACCUCAGAAUGGGGCAAAACUUCACAAUUUUGGGGCUCCUCCGGGCACCUCAAAAUGGGGCAAAACCUCACGAUUUUGGGGUCCCCAUCCUCCUCCUUUAGACAGCUCAAAAUGGGGCAAAACUUCACAAUUUUGGGGUUCCUUCGGGCACCUCGGAAUGGGGCAAAACCCCUCAAUUUUGGGGUUCCUCCAGCCGCCACAGAAUGGGGCAAAAUCCGCCCAUUUUGGGGUUCCCCUCCUUCCCCUGCCCCCCCCAAGUUCCCGUUGACGAAAAUGUGCCUCUUUUCUCUUAAAACCAACUUAAAAACCUACC
Molecule: long non-coding RNA, 1130 nt
Filed under: Numida meleagris (helmeted guineafowl)
Lineage: Eukaryota; Metazoa; Chordata; Aves; Galliformes; Numididae
Description: lncRNA (ENSNMEG00000005008.1)
Source: RNAcentral